This is a non-coding RNA of Xyrichtys novacula (pearly razorfish), 521 nucleotides long. NCBI's taxonomy places the organism in Eukaryota, Metazoa, Chordata, Actinopteri, Labriformes, Labridae. The record is from the annotation of a GenBank genome assembly.
CCAGGUAUAAGGUUGCCAUUACUAAACACAAGGACGUGGAGCAGAGUGUUGGCAGUCUGUACAAUCAGCAUGACAUCUGGAAUCCAGCUGUUGACUUCAGCAAGUACAUUGAAGAUAACGAAAGCAUUGAAAACGAGGUGUGUGUUCACAUUUUGAAACGUCUCGAAAUUGUAGAAAUGGAUCAACAGUUAACACGUACCUCCCAUUUCCUCCUCAUUUCUUUCCAGGACCUGGUUGCCUGGGUGACCACCGGUUUCCUCCACAUCCCCCAUGCUGAGGACAUCCCCAACACAGUAACAGUCGGCAAUGGAGGCGGGGUCCUGCUGCGUCCACACAACUACUUUGACGAAGACCCGUCCAUCCACUCUACUGAUGGAGUCUACUUUGCUCCAGGCUCUGAGGAAAGCUGCGAAAACAAUCUGAUGGCCUGCCUUCCUGAAGAGCCCUGCAUUCCUCUAACAGAACCUUUCACCUACAGUGGCUUCAACUGAAGCUUGAGUGAAAUCGCAAGAUAGGAGACU